UAGCUCAAUAGUCAGAGCACUGGCUUUGCAAGCCAGGGGCAGCAAGUUUGAACUUUGC
RNAcentral lists this transfer RNA (58 nucleotides) under Otolemur garnettii (small-eared galago). It matches the Rfam family "tRNA", at positions 8 to 63 of the family's 71-position model. From Rfam's summary of the family: Transfer RNA (tRNA) molecules are approximately 80 nucleotides in length. Their secondary structure includes four short double-helical elements and three loops (D, anti-codon, and T loops). Further hydrogen bonds mediate the characteristic L-shaped molecular structure. tRNAs have two regions of fundamental functional importance: the anti-codon, which is responsible for specific mRNA codon recognition, and the 3' end, to which the tRNAs corresponding amino acid is attached (by aminoacyl-tRNA synthetases). tRNAs cope with the degeneracy of the genetic code in two manners: having more than one tRNA (with a specific anti-codon) for a particular amino acid; and 'wobble' base-pairing, i.e. permitting non-standard base-pairing at the 3rd anti-codon position. Lineage: Eukaryota; Metazoa; Chordata; Mammalia; Primates; Galagidae. The record is from Rfam by way of RNAcentral.